RNAcentral lists this ribosomal RNA (253 nucleotides) under Phocaeicola coprocola DSM 17136. Its description in RNAcentral is "partial 16S ribosomal RNA". It matches the Rfam family "Bacterial small subunit ribosomal RNA", at positions 524 to 776 of the family's 1533-position model. The record is from RNAcentral. Lineage: Bacteria; Pseudomonadati; Bacteroidota; Bacteroidia; Bacteroidales; Bacteroidaceae.
UACGGAGGAUGCGAGCGUUAUCCGGAUUUAUUGGGUUUAAAGGGAGCGCAGACGGGAGAUUAAGUCAGUUGUGAAAGUUUGCGGCUCAACCGUAAAAUUGCAGUUGAUACUGGUCUUCUUGAGUGCAGUUGAGGCAGGCGGAAUUUGUGGUGUAGCGGUGAAAUGCUUAGAUAUCACGAAGAACCCCGAUUGCGAAGGCAGCUUGCUAAACUGUAACUGACGUUCAUGCUCGAAAGUGUGGGUAUCAAACAGG